RNAcentral lists this ribosomal RNA (495 nucleotides) under uncultured bacterium. Its description in RNAcentral is "partial 16S ribosomal RNA". It matches the Rfam family "Bacterial small subunit ribosomal RNA", at positions 28 to 507 of the family's 1533-position model. The record is from RNAcentral.
GACGAACGCUGGCGGCGUGCCUAAUACAUGCAAGUAGAACGCUGAAGGAGGAUCUUGCUUCUCUGGAUGAGUUGCGAACGGGUGAGUAACGCGUAGGUAACCUGCCUGGUAGCGGGGGAUAACUCUUGGAAACGAUAGCUAAUACCGCAUAAUAGUAGAUGUUGCAUGACAUUUGCUUAAAAGGUGCAAUUGCAUCACUACCAGAUGGACCUGCGUUGUAUUAGCUAGUUGGUGGGGUAACGGCUCACCAAGGCGACGAUACAUAGCCGACCUGAGAGGGUGAUCGGCCACACUGGGACUGAGACACGGCCCAGACUCCUACGGGAGGAAGCAGUAGGGAAUCUUCGGCAAUGGACGGAAGUCUGACCGAGCAACGCCGCGUGAGUGAAGAAGGUUUUCGGAUCGUAAAGCUCUGUUGUAAGAGAAGAACGAGUGUGAGAGUGGAAAGUUCACACUGUGACGGUAUCUUACCAGAAAGGGACGGCUAACUACGUG